UGUUAAAUAUUUUAUUCAUUUUAAUGUUAAAAACUAGUAUAGUUGACAGAAUAAUCAAACAUUUACACGUGGCGUGCCAUGUGUCCCUCAUCCUGAUGUAUAGGGACCAAAUUUUAAUAGUAAAAAUAGAUUGAAUUUUUCGAUA
This is a non-coding RNA of Gossypium raimondii (Peruvian cotton), 145 nucleotides long. Lineage: Eukaryota; Viridiplantae; Streptophyta; Magnoliopsida; Malvales; Malvaceae. The record is from Rfam.